RNAcentral lists this long non-coding RNA (369 nucleotides) under Brassica napus (rape). RNAcentral describes it as "long non-coding RNA (BNAP_LNC016149)". The record is from RNAcentral. Lineage: Eukaryota; Viridiplantae; Streptophyta; Magnoliopsida; Brassicales; Brassicaceae.
CACCGUGGCUAUUCCCAAUGCUACGAGGCAGCUACUUCGUCCCAUGUUCGACCCACGCUGAUUCAAACAAAAACGAGUGCAACUUGUUUUGUCUCGAUUGUGCUGGAAAUGCCUUUUGCUCGUACUGUUUGGUCAAACAUAAAAACCAUCGUGUUGUUCAGGUCCAAUAUCUCUUUUCUUGUUUUCCCAAAUUAUUUGUUUAUUAAUGUUAAAAUAUAAACGAAAAUGGAAUUAAAUUGCAGAUAAGGAGAUCUUCUUACCACAACGUGGUGAGAGUGAAUGAGAUACAAAAGUAUAUAGACAUCACUUGCGUUCAGACAUACAUCAUCAACAGCGCAAAGAUCGUGUUCCUCAACGAAAGACCUCAGC